This 301-nucleotide ribosomal RNA is filed under the name uncultured bacterium. RNAcentral's name for it is "partial 16S ribosomal RNA". It matches the Rfam family "Bacterial small subunit ribosomal RNA", at positions 509 to 807 of the family's 1533-position model. The record is from RNAcentral.
CAGUCGCCGCGGUAAAACGUAGGGUGCGAGCGUUAAUCGGAAUUACUGGGCGUAAAGCGUGCGCAGGCGGUUGUGUAAGACAGGUGUGAAAUCCCCGGGCUUAACCUGGGAACUGCGCUUGUGACUGCACAGCUAGAGUAUGGCAGAGGGGGGUGGAAUUCCACGUGUAGCAGUGAAAUGCGUAGAGAUGUGGAGGAACACCGAUGGCGAAGGCAGCCCCCUGGGCCAAUACUGACGCUCAUGCACGAAAGCGUUGGGAGCAAACGGGAUUAGAUACCCCAGUAGUCCCUGUCUCUUAUAC